RNAcentral lists this ribosomal RNA (293 nucleotides) under uncultured Campylobacterota bacterium. RNAcentral's name for it is "uncultured Epsilonproteobacteria bacterium partial 16S ribosomal RNA". It matches the Rfam family "Bacterial small subunit ribosomal RNA", at positions 368 to 674 of the family's 1533-position model. The record is from RNAcentral. Lineage: Bacteria; Pseudomonadati; Campylobacterota.
GCAAUGGGGGAAACCCUGACGGAGCGACACCGCGUGAAGGAUGACGCGCUUUUCGCGUGUAAACUUCUGUUCUGAGGGACGAAACUUUUGACGGUACCUCAGGAGAAAGCACCGGCUAAUUCCGUGCCAGCAGCCGCGGUAAGACGGAAGGUGCAAGCGUUACUCGGAAUCACUGGGCGUAAAGCGUCCGCAGGCUUCUUUAUUAGUCUGGUGUAAAAGCACGGAGCCCAACCCGUGUACGUGCCGGAAACUGUAAAGAAUAGAGUCACUCAGAGGCAUCUGGAAUGCCGUGU